GGCUUUUAGAAUCCGUGCUGAGAUUUCGUCAGACACCAACCCAUUAGGGCUGACCAGACAUCCAAGAUAGGUGAAGUU
RNAcentral lists this microRNA precursor (78 nucleotides) under Schistosoma mansoni. RNAcentral's name for it is "mir-3492 microRNA precursor family". It matches the Rfam family "mir-3492 microRNA precursor family". Lineage: Eukaryota; Metazoa; Platyhelminthes; Trematoda; Strigeidida; Schistosomatidae. The record is from Rfam by way of RNAcentral.